Molecule: long non-coding RNA, 4712 nt
Organism: Cavia porcellus (domestic guinea pig)
Lineage: Eukaryota; Metazoa; Chordata; Mammalia; Rodentia; Caviidae
Exons: 5
Source: RefSeq, a predicted model, not a curated record
CAUGUGGUCACAUCCACCUGAACAGCAGGCCAGGCGGUGAAGCCAGAAUUCAAACCCAGACCUGCUGGGCUCCAAGGCUGUAUCGCUAAUCCUACGCUAGAUAGAACUUAUUCUGGGCUUGAAGACCAUGAAACUUCAUCUUUGUGUCCUGGGAACAGAUGUGCAGUAGGAUGACAUCUAAACAGGCAAAACGGAAAGCCACUGUCUACACUGCAGCUGGUCUGUUUUCUAAUUCCCCAUUCUGGAAUCAGAAAACAGAAACUGAGGCUUCUGAAGAAUUAUUUUGUCAUCACACACACAAAGGACUGAAGGAAAAAAGAAUAGUCUGCUUGUAAAGGCUCAACAAUAUGAAGCUUUAUACAGGAGUCCUGUCUCGAAUUUAAGGCACAGUAUUAUACAAGAACCCAUAUUGUGCACAAUAACUAAGUUCUCUGUCCACACGUCACUGUGCAAGGAUAAUGGGUGGAUUCAUCAGCCACUGAGGAAUGCUGGAAUGUCAAGGAGGCCUCCAGCAUCCUCUCUAAUUAGCAAAGGAAUCAUUAAAUUGUCCAGGCAACCUACCAUCGGGGAGAUGUUUAAACUGUCUUAUGCCAUCCACCCACUUUUCACAGGUUUUGGCAAAGUAGUCAUAGCCAUAAAGGGCUUCGAGAGGCUUCCGUGCUUUCUCACUCCAUUUAGAAACAUCUCGGAUACCUGGAAAACAAAAGCGCGGCCUGGACUGGUUAUGUUUCACACCAAGGCAGCAUCUUCCCAUCCCAAGCCCCAGCCAUCUCAGGCCUCACACCCCGUUCCGCCUGCUGGAAAGGCUUCCCCUGCUGUCUGAAUGCUCUCUUGGAUGCCACUGGGUCUCCCUGCCCACCACCUGGGCCCUCCUCUCCAUCUCCUCUGCUGCACACUUCCUCUGUCCGGCCGGGUUCCCUGCCUGUGUGACUGUGCCUGCUGUCCAUUUAGGGCAUCUGCCCCAAGGCUCACACCUGCGGCCCAAGCCUCUGCCUCCCCUAGAAUGGGCCCACGGCAAACGCUUAUCAAAUAGAGGCAAUCAGACCCGCACUGAGCUCUUCAUGUUACAGGUGUGAGAUAAAAGAAAACAUUCCCCUAAGUGAGGUCACCUGAGUGAGAGCAGCAUUGUGUAAUCCAUCGGUAUCUGGAGGGAUUGGUCCAGGAGCCCCGCAGAUUCCAAAAUCUAUGGGUGUUCAGAUCCCUUCUAUGAUGUGACAGACGACUUGUGCAGAACCCGCGCACCCACCCCCCCACAGACGCUGAGUCACUGCUGAAUGACUUGCCAUACUCAAGGCAAUGCAAGUGCUGUGGAAGUGGCUGUGGUAUUGUAUUGACUGGUGCACAGUGGUAAGAAAGAGUCUGUCCACACUCAGUCAGACUCUUAAGUGUAGACUUAAUUUUAAAAAGUAUUUUCAACCACGACUGCUUGAAUGCAUAAAUGCAGAACUCAUGGGUUUCAGUAGAGGGGCAGCACAUUCAUAAAGCAGUCUUUUUUCUGGCACAUUGAGAAACAUAAAAUUACAAGUUCUGCUACAGAAGAAACAACAGUUCAGAACGAAUCCACAAAGGCAGUGACUCAGCUCCUAGCGCUCUCGAGCUCAUAAAACGUUGCUUACCAAGUGCUCUUAGAGCUUCUGCUAGAGGACAGGCCCGAGAGGAAGAGGACACUGCCCAUGUGAACUCACAUCAAAGAACGCCCCACGCAGGGUCUGGAUGGGGUGGCUGGACUCCACGCGCUCUUACUGCAUGGAAAUAACUGAAUGGAGGGAAAACUGCUGUGUGUACAACUGCUUCUGAACAGGGUGGGCCCUGCAACGGAAGGGAGCCUGCUUCACUUCCAUGGGUUCGGCAUUCAGAGAGUACUGGGACUGAAAUGAAGAAACUCGCCGCUCAUCACUAGUUAGUGAACACACCGGUAAACCCCGAUCAAAGCCGGCCGUGACUGGUUACCACUGACCCAACUUGACUGCGACCAGGUCCUCACGGUCCAGGGUGGAACUCACACAGCACCUGCGCACAGAGGCCCCUUGUCCACAACAGACACACGCCAGACGCCCUGGAUCCCGAAGCCUCGACAGUCCUGAGCCCUGCUAACACAGGCAGGCUGCUGUCACCUGUAUGCACCAGCUCUGAUAAAGCCUAAUGUACUGCUGCCUCAUAAGGGACUCUCCUACGAGGACAAACAACUGAAAAGAAAAAUCAAACCAAACCCCAAAAGAAACAGAAGGAAAAAAUCCUGACAAUCGGAACAGAGACUGAAGAGUGCAGACAGGCUGAAGAGCGGCCUUACAAAAGCAGGUGACCCACAGGCUGCAGGCUGCUGGCCCCUGCUCUACUGUGGGUAACCUCCGCCAAAGCCUGAGGCACCACCCCAAAAUGUACAAACAGCAUGAAAAUUCUUGCAAUCAAGAUGGAAGGUUUCCUGUUUGAACUGCUUUACACUCGCUUGCUUUAAACGAGGUCAUGAGUAACACCCCGUCCCCCGCCCCUCGGCUUCGCUAGCAACGGCCGUGAUGCAGACACUGCUUCUCCUGAGCGUUUCCUGAGUCAUAGGAGUGUCGCAUCUAGAAAUAGAAAGGCUGGAUAACUGAGCUCCUGUUGUGAGGGAGGACUCCUUAUUCUUCCGACCUCACUGUCAAGAGCUGGAAGAGGCUGAUCCAUGACUCAACACAGAUCACAACCAGGGGCUGGGGGGAGCACGGAGCACCUGGCCUCACGCACCUUCGGGCAGCAGAACCUACCCAGAUAGAUCCUCUCGUCCUCGUCGGUCACGUAGGUGUUUGCUCCCCAGAUCACCAUCUUGCUGAUGUACGACGGGUACCUGGCCGCGGCGACGAGCGCGGUGAUGCCACCGUCGCUCCACCCCAGCAGGGAGACCCUCUUGAACUUCAGCGCCUGUGACGGUACAGCGAGACAUGGCAGGGUUAUAGCACUCCUUCCUGGGGCCUGGGAGGCGGUGAUGAGCAGAGUCGUGCGGGCUGGGUCCGGGGUAGCCUCAGGAAUAACCGCACUGCUUGCCAACACAGCACAGCGCUCGCUCUCGCUUAGCUUUGGUACAAGGGGAACCAUGGGGGGAACUUGAGUGCUGGGCACUGAUGAUGGUGAGGGAACCGCAGCUUCCACUUGGUGAAAUGUCAAGGAGUAGCUCCGUGGCCAUUACUAGCACCUGGACAGGAACAUCGUGCACCUACACCUGUGUGCGUGCGCACGCCUGAACAGGGCUCCAGGAGCAAAGCAUGCAGCUCAAGGGACUGCACAUCUGACGGUGAAAUGACACCAGGCAUCCAGUGAAGCCACCGAGUGCAACUGCGGGAAGGAAGAGAACACCAACCUCGGGAAGCUGUGUAAGUCCCUGGGUGAAUCCAGGGGGACCCGAGUGUGUCUGGCCAGGAAAACAGACAAAGGGGACAUCAGUGAGAUGCUGCCAUGGAGAGAACUAAAAUAAAAGUUAAAGAAUUAGCUAACAUAUUGGGGACCGCAAAUUUGCAAGAGCUAAUUCUGCAGAUUUCCCAGGGAUAAAUGGAGGCUUGGGAUUACAGUAUCGCCCUCCUGAGACUUCCCAUUAACUCUUCUCUCCCACCCACUAAAAUAACUAAAAUGAGAAAGCACACCCCACAGUAAGCCCUUUUUUGUGUAAGAUCAUCUCUGUCCUCUUUGAGUUAUUCCAGGAUUAUCUGCUGCCUGUGGUGUCAUCGACCUCUGAAUCUUCAGGACCUGGAACCUCCCACUAGCCCCUGCCAGCACUGUAUACACCCACUGCACUGUCCACACCCAACAGACAGCGCUGGUUUAGAGUCACUGGGUCUUCGCCCGGCCUGAGGCACUGACCUCCCCGCCCCCAUCAUGCAUUGCUGUAUUUGUCUGUUUAUUAUUUAUCCUUUGCUGUACCCUACAUAUAGGAAGUUGGGGACCUUGGCCAGGUCCCCAGGAAGAUAGUACAAUGUAUUUGUUGUAGGCAUUACACACUGGUGGAAGCACUAUGGGUAAUAGUUGUCUCUCGGUGAAUAUUUUCACCUUCUACAAUACAACACGCCGUCUCCUAAGUUCAUAUGGAACUGUCACACACAUGCACCGGGAGACAGGGUCAGCAUGUCCACAGCAACACUGAAACAGCAAAAACACCAGAACUGAAGAGUCUGCAAGUAACAGAAUGUCCACUGCCCUCCUGUGUGACAGGAGUCCCCUGGUGUCACCUUUCCAGAGAGAAAGAAUCACAGAAAUGAAGCCAAAUAAAUGAAGAGACACCCAGCCACCCUUCCCCUGAGCACUUCUGUAAGACCCACCUUCAUCAAAUCCACCGCAUCUUUUGCAUCUCUUUCAAAAAAGUCCAGUGGAAAAUCUCGAUCUGGGGGCCUGGAAUGGCCGUAUCCUCGGGGGUCCCAGGCAACCACUGUGAAGAGCUUCUUACUUAGGCUCUUAAGUUGAGGUGCAAAAUCUGUCUCGCCACUUCCUGAAAACAGACAUUUGGUUAUUUUUUUUUUCUCUUGUCUUUUCUUUUUCUCUCUUUUCAGUCUUUUUUUGAGACAGGGUCUCACUAUGCAGUCCAGGCUGGCCUUGAAUUCACUUUGUAGCCAGGCUGGUCUCAAACUUGCCACCAGCCUCCUGCCUCAGCCUCCCAAGAGUGGGGAUUACAGUUGUGCGCCACCAUGCCUGGCUUGGUUAACUCUUGUGAAUGCUUUCAUUGUAUCGAACACAGCAGAGUAAAACAAAAG